GUAGGUGGCAAGCGUUGUCCGGAAUUAUUGGGGCGUAAAGCGCGCGCAGGCGGUUCUUUAAGUCUGAUGUGAAAGCCCACGGGCUCAACCGUGGAGGGUCAUUGGAAACUGGAGAACUUGAGUACAGAAGAGGAAAGCGGAAUUCCACGUGUAGCGGUGAAAUGCGUAGAGAUGUGGAGGAACACCAGUGGCGAAGGCGGCUUUCUGGUCUGUAACUGACGCUGAGGCGCGAAAGCGUGGGGAGCAAACAGGAUUAGAUACCCUGUAGUCCACGCCGUAAACGAUGAGUGCUAAGUGUUAGGGGGUUUCCGCCCCUUAGUGCUGCAGCUAACGCAUUAAGCACUCCGCCUGGGGAGUACGGCCGCAAAGGCUG
This 373-nucleotide ribosomal RNA is filed under the name uncultured organism. RNAcentral's name for it is "partial 16S ribosomal RNA". It matches the Rfam family "Bacterial small subunit ribosomal RNA", at positions 527 to 896 of the family's 1533-position model. The record is from RNAcentral.